Molecule: ribosomal RNA, 87 nt
Filed under: uncultured bacterium
Lineage: Bacteria
Description: partial 16S ribosomal RNA
Source: RNAcentral
ACACCGCCCGUCCACCAUCACGAAAGUGGAUACGUACUAGAAGUCCUAAUCCAAAACAGGCCCAAGGUAUGAUUCAUGAGUUGGGUG